CUGCCGCUGCUACUUGCGUUGCCUGCUUCAUGCCCCAAAUAAUUUCAGGCAGAUUUUAAUUAAAAGUAAAUAAGCAAGUAACUAUUUACAUGCAGCUCGCAUCUACCUGCCAGUACCCGAAUUAUUUGUGCGCAUUAUUCUGCGGCAGUAUGGAGGAUGAAGAUGUUUUUGUGGCGACAGCGCUUUGCGUUUUAAAUGUACAGAAUUAUUUAAAUGUGUUAAGAUAUGCUAUGGAAAAGAAACGUCGACGUCGAAAAAGACGAUGGUGGAUGACAGCGAUUCAUUGUAAUAGAACGUUAACAAGUAUGAAUAACUUUUUUAAUGAUCUGACAUGUGAGGAAUCGGGAGAAUUUUUUAGCUUUUGCCGAAUGUCCCGAAUAGACUUUGAAUUUCUGCUUAAUAAAAUUGAGCCUAUGAUUAAAAGAGAAACUAAAAUAAGGGUUCCAAUACUACCAAAAAUUCGCUUGGCAAUAACAUUGCGAUAUUUGGCCACUAGGGACAGUUACAAAAGUUUACAUUAUUUAUUUAAAGUUUCAACGGCAGCAAUUUCGCUGAUUGUACCUGAAGUUUUUGGAGCAAUUAAUUCAAUUUUAAAGGACCAAAUUAAGUUGCCAGAUACACCAGAGCAAUGGUUAGCAAUAGAAAAGGGAUUCAGAAAAAAAUUUCCCCGACGUAUCGGAAGCCAUUGAUGGCAAACACAUCGUUAUUAAAUGUCCACCACAUACUGGCGCCGAAUAUUAUAACUAUAAAGGAACGUAUAGCAUAGUUUUGAUGGCUUUAGUUGAUAACGAAUAUAAAUUUAUUUUUGCCGACGUAGGUGGUCAAGGGCGUAUUAGCGAUGGGGGUAUUUUUCAAAACUGGAAAAAAAUUGACACAAAUCAAGUUAAUUUACCACCAGAUGUCCCAUUGCCUGGUAGAGAAACUAGUACGUCUUAUGUGUUUUUAGGCGAUGGGGCUUUUGCAUUACAUAGGAAUGUGAUGAAACCUUUUCCAGGAAAUCAUGACAUGGGCACUAAAGAAAGAACAUUUAAUUAUAAACUUUCAAGCAGUCGUGUCAUUGUUCAAAAUACUUUCGGUGUCUUGACAUCUGUCUUUAGAGUAUUUAAAAAACCCAUUGAAAUAGAUAUAAGCAAGGUACCGAAAAUAACAUUAACUUGUAUUAGAAGAUGUCAACAUUCUCGAAAUUCCUACACCCCUCCAGGGACUUUUUCUGCCAUUGAGGACGGAGUACUUAUUGAAGGCUCCUGGAGACAACAAAAUACAGGUGUAUCUGCCAUAAGAAAUAUACCACAUGUAGCCAGACGAGCUGCAGCUACCGCAAUGCAAGUUAGAUCGGAAUUUGCCGAUUAUUUCAAUAAUGUUGAAUUGUAAUUUAAAAAC
Molecule: long non-coding RNA, 1380 nt
Filed under: Anthonomus grandis grandis
Lineage: Eukaryota; Metazoa; Arthropoda; Insecta; Coleoptera; Curculionidae
Description: uncharacterized LOC126735464
Source: RNAcentral